This 475-nucleotide ribosomal RNA is filed under the name Paenibacillus dendritiformis. Its description in RNAcentral is "bacterial SSU rRNA". It matches the Rfam family "Bacterial small subunit ribosomal RNA", at positions 52 to 509 of the family's 1533-position model. Lineage: Bacteria; Bacillati; Bacillota; Bacilli; Caryophanales; Paenibacillaceae. The record is from RNAcentral.
UACUGCAGUCGAGCGGAGAUGUGGAGUGCUUGCACUCCUGAUGCUUAGCGACGGACGGGUGAGUAUACGUAAUUCACCUGCCCUUAAGACCGGGAUACCUCACGGAAACGUGGGCUAAUACCGGAUAGGCGAUUUCCUCGCAUGAAGGGAUUCGGGAAAGGCGGAGCAAUCUGCCGCUUAUGGAUGGACCUACCGCGCAUUAGCUAGUUGGGGAGGUAACGGCUCACCAAGGCAACGAUGCGUAGCCUACCUGAGAGGGUGAUCGGCCACACUGGGACUGAGACACGGCCCACACUCCUACGGGAGGCAGCAGUAGGGAAUCUUCCGCAAUGGACGCAUGUCUGACGGACCACCGCCGCGUGAGUGAUGAAGGUUUUCGGAUCGUAUAGCUCUGUUGCCAGGAAAGAACGCUAUGGAGAGUAACUGUUCCAUAGGUGACGGUUCCUGAAAAGAACGCCCCGGCUAACUAGCUGCA